This 404-nucleotide ribosomal RNA is filed under the name uncultured prokaryote. Its description in RNAcentral is "bacterial SSU rRNA". It matches the Rfam family "Bacterial small subunit ribosomal RNA", at positions 355 to 774 of the family's 1533-position model. The record is from RNAcentral.
UGGGGAAUAUUGCACAAUGGGCGAAAGCCUGAUGCAGCAACGCCGCGUGAGCGAUGAAGGCCUUUGGGUCGUAAAGCUCUGUCCUUGGGGAAGAAAAAAAUGACGGUACCCUUGGAGGAAGCCCCGGCUAACUACGUGCCAGCAGCCGCGGUAAUACGUAGGGGGCAAGCGUUAUCCGGAAUUAUUGGGCGUAAAGAGUGCGUAGGUGGUUUUGUAAGCGCGGGGUGAAAGGCAAUGGCUCAACUAUUGUAAGCCCUGCGAACUGCAAGACUUGAGUGCAGGAGAGGAAAGCGGAAUUCCUAGUGUAGCGGUGAAAUGCGUAGAUAUUAGGAGGAACACCAGUGGCGAAGGCGGCUUUCUGGACUGUAACUGACACUGAGGCACGAAAGCGUGGGGAGCAAACA